CCACUUCUCCGUCCUACUCUCCGACCUCUCCAUCGUACUCUCCAACUUCGCCGUCCUACUCCCCGACCUCUCCAUCGUACUCUCCAACCUCGCCAUCUUACUCUCCGACGUCUCCUUCCUAUUCUCCGACUUCGCCAUCUUAUUCUCCCACUUCUCCGUCCUACAGUCCCACCUCUCCCUCGUACUCUCCCACCUCGCCGUCCUACAGCCCGACGUCUCCCUCGUACUCCCCCACCUCGCCAUCCUACUCUCCCACUUCGCCUUCUUACAGUCCGACGUCUCCGAGCUAUAGCCCGACGUCCCCGAGCUACAGCCCGACCUCUCCGAGCUACAGCCCCACGUCUCCGUCUUACAGCCCGACGUCACCGGCUUACAGCCCGACUUCUCCGUCUUACAGCCCGACGUCGCCUUCUUACAGCCCGACUUCUC
RNAcentral lists this long non-coding RNA (429 nucleotides) under Selaginella moellendorffii. Its description in RNAcentral is "long non-coding RNA (SMOE_LNC001287)". The record is from RNAcentral. Lineage: Eukaryota; Viridiplantae; Streptophyta; Lycopodiopsida; Selaginellales; Selaginellaceae.